UGACAGCUCAGUCGGUACAGCUUGAGACUCUUAAUCUCACGGUUGUGGGUUUGAGUCUUACAAAUGGGGCAAAA
Non-coding RNA from Podarcis lilfordi (Lilford's wall lizard), 74 nucleotides. The record is from the annotation of a GenBank genome assembly. Lineage: Eukaryota; Metazoa; Chordata; Lepidosauria; Squamata; Lacertidae.